RNAcentral lists this ribosomal RNA (430 nucleotides) under Pseudomonadota bacterium. RNAcentral's name for it is "Proteobacteria bacterium partial 16S ribosomal RNA". It matches the Rfam family "Bacterial small subunit ribosomal RNA", at positions 355 to 776 of the family's 1533-position model. Lineage: Bacteria; Pseudomonadati; Pseudomonadota. The record is from RNAcentral.
UGGGGAAUAUUGGACAAUGGGGGGAACCCUGAUCCAGCCAUGCCGCGUGUGUGAAGAAGGCCUUAUGGUUGUAAAGCACUUUAAGCGAGGAGGAGGGUACUGGUAUUAAUACUACCAGGUACUGGACGUUACUCGCAGAAUAAGCACCGGCUAACUCUGUGCCAGCAGCCGCGGUAAUACAGAGGGUGCGAGCGUUAAUCGGAUUUACUGGGCGUAAAGCGUGCGUAGGCGGCUAAUUGAGUCGGAUGUGAAAUCCCCGAGCUUAACUUGGGAAUUGCAUUCGAUACUGGUUAGCUAGCGUGUGGGAGAGGAUGGUAGAAUUCCAGGUGUAGCGGUGAAAUGCGUAGAGAUCUGGAGGAAUACCGAUAGCGAAGGCAGCCAUCUGGCCUAACACUGACGCUGAGGUACGAAAGCAUGGGGAGCAAACAGG